This 482-nucleotide ribosomal RNA is filed under the name uncultured bacterium. RNAcentral's name for it is "partial 16S ribosomal RNA". It matches the Rfam family "Bacterial small subunit ribosomal RNA", at positions 28 to 507 of the family's 1533-position model. The record is from RNAcentral.
GACGAACGCUGGCGGCGUGCUUAACACAUGCAAGUCGAACGAUGAAGAAGAGAAACGCGAACUUCGGUUCAACUUUCACUUCGGAUUAGUGGCAGACGGGUGAGUAACGCGUGAGCAACCUACCUCUUACAAAGGGAUAGCCUCGGGAAACCGUGAGUAAUACCAUAUGACACAUUCAUAAGGCAUCUUAAGAAUGUUAAAGCUACGGCGGUAAGAGAUGGGCUCGCGUCCCAUUAGCUAGUUGGUGAGGUAACGGCCCACCACGGCGACGGUGGGUAACCGGCCUGAGAGGGUGAACGGUCACAUUGGAACUGAGACACGGUCCAAACUCCUACGGGAGGCAGCAGUGGGGAAUAUUGCACAAUGGAGGGAACUCUGAUGCAGCGACGCCGCGUGAGCGAUGAAGGAAUUCGUGUCGUAAAGCUCUGUUCUAUGGGAAGAAAAGGACUGUACCAUAGGAGAAAGCCCCGGCUAAAUACGUG